GUUUCUGUAGCGUAGCUGUUAUCACCUUAGCCUUACAAGCCAAAGGUCCCAGAUUUGAAACCUGGAGGAAACA
RNAcentral lists this transfer RNA (73 nucleotides) under Sus scrofa (pig). It matches the Rfam family "tRNA". From Rfam's summary of the family: Transfer RNA (tRNA) molecules are approximately 80 nucleotides in length. Their secondary structure includes four short double-helical elements and three loops (D, anti-codon, and T loops). The record is from Rfam by way of RNAcentral. Lineage: Eukaryota; Metazoa; Chordata; Mammalia; Artiodactyla; Suidae.